CCACAUUGGAACUGAGACACGGUCCAAACUCCUACGGGAGGCAGCAGUGAGGAAUAUUGGUCAAUGGUCGGCAGACUGAACCAGCCAAGUCGCGUGAGGGAAGACGGCCCUACGGGUUGUAAACCUCUUUUGUCGGAGAGUAAAGUACGCUACGUGUAGCGUAUUGCAAGUAUCCGAAGAAAAAGCAUCGGCUAACUCCGUGCCAGCAGCCGCGGUAAUACGGAGGAUGCGAGCGUUAUCCGGAUUUAUUGGGUUUAAAGGGUGCGUAGGCGGCACGCCAAGUCAGCGGUGAAAUUUCCGGGCUCAACCCGGAGUGUGCCGUUGAAACUGGCGAGCUAGAGUACACAAGAGGCAGGCGGAAUGCGUGGUGUAGCGGUGAAAUGCAUAGAUAUCACGCAGAACCCCGAUUGCGAAGGCAGCCUGCUAGGGUGCGACAGACGCUGAGGCACGAAAGCGUGGGUAUCGAACAGGAUUAGAUACCCUGGUAGUCCACGCAGUAAACGAUGAAUACUAACUGUUUGCGAUACAAUGUAAGCGGUACAGCGAAAGCGUUAAGUAUUCCACCUGGGGAGUACGCCGGCAACGGUGAAACUCAAAGGAAUUGACGGGGGCCCGCACAAGCGGAGGAACAUGUGGUUUAAUUCGAUGAUACGCGAGGAACCUUACCCGGGCUCAAACGCAGGGGGAAUGCCGGUGAAAGUCGGCAGCUAGUAAUAGUCACCUGCGAGGUGCUGCAUGGUUGUCGUCAGCUCGUGCCGUGAGGUGUCGGCUUAAGUGCCAUAACGAGCGCAACCCCUAUUGACAGUUACUAACGGGUCAAGCCGAGGACUCUGUCGAGACUGCCGGCGCAAGCCGCGAGGAAGGUGGGGAUGACGUCAAAUCAGCACGGCCCUUAC
Molecule: ribosomal RNA, 896 nt
Filed under: human gut metagenome
Description: bacterial SSU rRNA
Rfam family: Bacterial small subunit ribosomal RNA
Source: RNAcentral